RNAcentral lists this long non-coding RNA (2549 nucleotides) under Equus caballus (horse). RNAcentral's name for it is "lncRNA (ENSECAG00000058724.1)". Lineage: Eukaryota; Metazoa; Chordata; Mammalia; Perissodactyla; Equidae. The record is from RNAcentral.
GGUGGAAUUGCUGGAAAUAAUGAGGAAAGAGCCCUUGGGGUAGAUAGUCGUGUCAUCAGGAGACCAGCUGCCAGCAGGGAUUUCCUCAUGGGGCGGAGGAAGCAGCGGUCCCCUCUGUGAAUGAGUCUCUCACAUCUCCUUUAGAUCCUGGGCGCCAUCCUGGGCUUGAAGCUACUCAGAAGGGGAGCACUGUGCUAAGAGGGGGAGCUAGAGAAACAGAAGGAGAGGUUGAUCGGGAGCUCAGGAAUGGGCCAGAGAAUCUUUUUAAGGCAUUUUUCAGCCUCUUCCUGAGUUGAGUAUAAGGAGAAGCUCCCAUCUCUGGAUCUGGGGUCAUGAGUUUCAGGUAAGGGUCCCCACAUUUCUUUCCACGCUUUGUCCUCACUCUUUUGCUGACCUCUGUAUUUUUGAGAUAAGGCUUCUAAAUUGAUUAAGGAGAGAGCAGGGAUCUGAGCUGAGGAAAAGGAAAUGGAACCUGGAAGUUAGCAUUAAUUUGAGCAAAGUCAGGGACCUAUGAGCUCAGAGUGGGCUACACCUUCCUGAAAUGAGAAACAGCCUCAGAACACAGACCUGGCCCGUCAGCAGGGGCCAACAAGCCCAGAGAGAUGAAGACAGAGGGCGUAGGUGUGUGGCCAGAGAGCGGGAGUGGGGAAUUUCUUCGCUCUCUGUCCAGCUAGAAGAAAUUUGGGAACCGGAAAGAACGUCUGUGAAAACAGCAGCACGGGGUCCAGGCAACGGCCCCCACUUUCCUGAGUUCUGAACCCGGCUCUGUGGCUUCUCAGGUGAGGAAACGCAGGAAAGAGACCUGCCUGUGGUCCCACCAUCACGUCGCGACAGAGCCGCAGCUGGAAUUCAGGUGUGGUCCUCUUCCCGCUUCUCCACAACUUCCACUUUGGACUUUAAACUUAAUUCCCAGGAUCCUAGGGCCCUUUUUUGUUAUAGACCCCAAAGGCAACUGAAUACAAACACCUAUAAGGCCAGAAAAUACCUCCCUCAUUUUAAUUAUUAAAAACAUUAUGAAAUUGACUAAAUUGUGAUAGAUAUGCAUCCUAAGAGACCAGUAAUUUGCACGAGUUCAUCGUUUUUCUUUAAAUCUUAACAUGAUCUGGAAGGCUUCAGAAGUGCCCUAAUUCUGAUCUUUCUCCGCGUUUUCUUUCGGUUUGUCUCCCUCUGGUGGAUUUAAAAAAAAAUACUUGUUUUUAUUUUCAGAGUAACUAUAGAUUAUUGGGGACAGGUUUUGCUCAAGGUCAGAGUUCAUCUGUUGUCAGCCUGGUUCAUGUUGUGGAACUCCUAGAAAACCAUCUUUCCUGGGUGGGAGUCUUUGCAGAGGCUCGACUUCAGGGAGGGUAGAAACAGGCCCAGCACGUCUGCUCCUUCAUACCUCCGUGAGCGCCAAGAAGCACAUGCGCAGACACAAAGGUGCAUUCAGAGAAUAAGUGGUUUGAAAUGAUUCAGCAUAAAGUGCAAGAGAUUAGCGGUGAAAGGCUGUGGUAAGAGAUGGAGUGGAAGGGUAAGCAGGGACCAAAUCACAGGGCCUUUUAAGUUAUGUUUGAAUCUUAUUUUGUAGGUAAUGGGGAUUGUAUUAGUUAGGAUUAGGCUGCAAAAACAGAAAACCUAUAUAAGUGGCUUUUAAAACAAAAAGUUUACUUCUGUCUGUGUAAAAGAAGUCAGGAAGUAGGCAGUCCAGGGUUUGAUAUGGAGCUCCCUGUCAUCAGUGAUCCAGGGUCCUUCCAGUCACGACUCCAUCUCUAGAGUGUAGCCUUUGUCCUCAUGGUCCAAAAUAGCUGCCAGAGCUCCAGCCAUCAUAUGCAUUUAUGCAAUUGGAUAGCUGCAUUGGCAAUUCAAUCUCAAUUUCCCAGAAAACAAACUGACUGAUUUCUACUCUCAAACCAGCUCUUGCCUUUUGUUCUCUAGCUCCCCAUUUUACUAUAGGAAAGAGCAAUGAAAUGAGACUCAGGAAGUAUGGGAGACUCUGGAGCUGAGGACAGAGAGUGAGUUCAGAAAACAUACAAGAGAGAUUUAAAAAGGAGUGGGGACCAGGCAUGCUAAAUGCUGCACAGAGGUCAAGCCACACAAGAUCUGAAGGUCGGCGUUUACAGAGCUGGCAGUAAGGUUAUCCGUGACCUUGGCAAGGGGGCGUCUACACUUUUUUUGUAGUGCAGAGCCCGAUUCAAUGUUGAAGCUCAGGGACGACAACUGCACCGUUCUUGCCUCUCACUGUCGUGUUGAUGAGCGCCCUGUGCUUGUCCCAGCCGUGGCUGGGACUUACCACUUCCCUUGAGGUUAGCCUCCAGUGAGAAAGAGCUGAAGUCGUCGGAGCUGCGUUUGUGGAAAAAAGCCUGGGUUCUCUGACCCUGUUCGCACCUCAGUUCUGCUCCUCUAGCUCCACUCUGUGUUUCCUGGACAACUGCUUCUCUGGACCUUAAUGGCCCCUGCUCCCUCCUUAGUUUUAACGGCCAUCUUGACUUCUUAGCAUCUUCUUUAGGACACAGUCUGGUGUUCUCCCGGCUUCUACCACUUACAGCUGCCCAGGCCCACAGCCCCGACGGAUG